RNAcentral lists this ribosomal RNA (465 nucleotides) under uncultured bacterium. RNAcentral's name for it is "partial 16S ribosomal RNA". It matches the Rfam family "Bacterial small subunit ribosomal RNA", at positions 338 to 795 of the family's 1533-position model. The record is from RNAcentral.
CCUACGGGAGGCAGUAGUGGGGAAUUUUGGACAAUGGGCGCAAGCCUGAUCCAGCUAUUCCGCGUGUGGGAUGACGGCCCUCGGGUUGUAAACCACUUUAGUAGAGAACGAAAAGGAGCUAUCGUAUAAAUAGCUCUGCUGACGGUACUCUCAGAAUAAGCACCGGCUAACUACGUGCCAGCAGCCGCGGUAAUACGUAGGGUGCGAGCGUUAGUCGGAAUUACUGGGCGUAAAGGGUGUGCAGGCGGCUGAGUAAGACAGAUGUGAAAUCCCCGGGCUUAACCUGGGAACCGCAUAUGUGACUGCAUGGCUAGAGUGCGUCAGAGGGAGGUGGAAUUCCACGUGUAGCAGUGAAAUGCGUAGAUAUGUGGAAGAACACCGAUGGCGAAGGCAGCCUACUGGGACGCAACUGACGCUCAUACACGAAAGCGUGGGGAGCAAACAGGAUUAGAUACCCCUGUAGUC